This 478-nucleotide ribosomal RNA is filed under the name uncultured bacterium. Its description in RNAcentral is "partial 16S ribosomal RNA". It matches the Rfam family "Bacterial small subunit ribosomal RNA", at positions 28 to 507 of the family's 1533-position model. The record is from RNAcentral.
GAUGAACGCUAGCGGCAGGCCUAACACAUGCCAGUCGAGGGAGAAGCCCUUUCGGGGGCAGAAACCGGCGCACGGGUGCGUAACGCGUAUGCAACCUACCUUUCACAGGGGGAUAGCCCGAAGAAAUUUGGAUUAAUACCCCAUAAUAUUAUUGGAUGGCAUCAUUUGAUAAUUAAAACUGCGGUGGUGAAAGAUGGGCAUGCGUCCUAUUAGCUAGUUGGAGUGGUAACGGCACCCCAAGGCUACGAUAGGUAGGGGUCCUGAGAGGGAGAUCCCCCACACUGGUACUGAGACAGGGACCCGACUCCUACGGGAGGCAGCAGUGAGGAAUAUUGGUCAAUGGUCGGAAGACUGAACCAGCCAUGCCGCGUGCAGGAAGAAUGCCUUAUGGGUUGUAAACUGCUUUUAUAUGGGAAGAAUAAGGCGUACGUGUACGUUGAUGACGGUACCAUAUGAAUAAGCAUCGGCUAACUCCGUG